This 73-nucleotide transfer RNA is filed under the name Clostridia bacterium. Its description in RNAcentral is "tRNA-Lys". It matches the Rfam family "tRNA". Rfam says of the family: Transfer RNA (tRNA) molecules are approximately 80 nucleotides in length. Their secondary structure includes four short double-helical elements and three loops (D, anti-codon, and T loops). Further hydrogen bonds mediate the characteristic L-shaped molecular structure. tRNAs have two regions of fundamental functional importance: the anti-codon, which is responsible for specific mRNA codon recognition, and the 3' end, to which the tRNAs corresponding amino acid is attached (by aminoacyl-tRNA synthetases). tRNAs cope with the degeneracy of the genetic code in two manners: having more than one tRNA (with a specific anti-codon) for a particular amino acid; and 'wobble' base-pairing, i.e. permitting non-standard base-pairing at the 3rd anti-codon position. The record is from RNAcentral. Lineage: Bacteria; Bacillati; Bacillota; Clostridia.
GCCCCAUUAACUCAGUUGGUAGAGUAGCUGACUCUUAAUCAGCGAGUCCAAGGUUCAAGCCCUUGAUGGGGUA